CCGGAGGCCACUGCUAUUGGGGUUCGGCUAAGCCAUGCGAGUGGAUUCCUCCUUCGGGACGAGGAUAAGGGCGGACGGCUCAGUAACACGUGGGUAAUCUACCCUCGGGUCGGGGAUAACCCCGGGAAACUGGGGCUAAUACCCGAUAGGGGGAGAGGUCUGGAAUGAUCCUCCUCCGAAAGCUCCGGCGCCCGAGGAUGAGCCUGCGGCCGAUUAGGUUGUUGGUGGUGUAACGGACCACCAAGCCUGCGAUCGGUACGGGCAGUGGGAGCUGUCGCCCGGAGAUUGGGGCUGAGACACGGCCCCAGGCCCUACGGGGCGCAGCAGGCGCGAAAACUCCGCAAUGCUCGCAAGAGCGACGGGGGGACCCCAAGUGCCCCUGCACUGCAGGGGCUUUUGCGGAGUGUAAACAGCUCCGCGAAUAAGGGCUGGGCAAGACCGGUGCCAGCCGCCGCGGUAACACCGGCAGCCCGAGUGGUGGCCACUAUUAUUGGGCCUAAAGCGUUCGUAGCCGGGCCGUUAAGUCCCUUGUGUAAUGUUCUCGCUCAACCUGUAUCUCUUGGGCGGAUACUGACGCGCUCAGGCCCUGGACAGCGGCAAGGUACUCCAAGGGUA
This 615-nucleotide ribosomal RNA is filed under the name uncultured archaeon. RNAcentral describes it as "bacterial SSU rRNA". It matches the Rfam family "Archaeal small subunit ribosomal RNA", at positions 17 to 628 of the family's 1478-position model. The record is from RNAcentral.